RNAcentral lists this signal recognition particle RNA (301 nucleotides) under Aotus nancymaae (Ma's night monkey). RNAcentral's name for it is "Metazoan signal recognition particle RNA (ENSANAG00000008544.1)". It matches the Rfam family "Metazoan signal recognition particle RNA". From Rfam's summary of the family: The signal recognition particle (SRP) is a universally conserved ribonucleoprotein. It is involved in the co-translational targeting of proteins to membranes. The eukaryotic SRP consists of a 300-nucleotide 7S RNA and six proteins: SRPs 72, 68, 54, 19, 14, and 9. Lineage: Eukaryota; Metazoa; Chordata; Mammalia; Primates; Aotidae. The record is from RNAcentral.
GUCAGGCGCGGUGUCACGUGCCUAUAGUCCCAGCUACUAGGGAGGCUGAGGCUGCAGGAUCGCUUGAGUCCAGGAGUUCUGGGCUGUAGUGUGCUACAUCAUUAUCGGGUGUCCGCACUAAGUUCAGCAUCAAUAUGGUGACCUCCCGGGAGUGGGGGACCAAGAGGUUGCCUAAGAAGGGGUGAACCGACCCAGGCUGGAAAUGGAGCAGGUCAAAACUCCUGUGCUGAUCAGUAGUGGGAUCAUGCUUGUGAAUAGCCACUGCACUCCAGCCUGGGCAACACAGCAAGACCCUGUCUAU